Molecule: ribosomal RNA, 253 nt
Filed under: uncultured bacterium
Lineage: Bacteria
Description: partial 16S ribosomal RNA
Rfam family: Bacterial small subunit ribosomal RNA
Source: RNAcentral
UACGUAGGUGGCGAGCGUUGUCCGGAUUUACUGGGCGUAAAGCGCGCGCAGGUGGUGGGGUGCGUCCCGUGUGAAAUCGCCCGGCUCACCUGGGCGGGGGCGCGGGAGACGGCCCGACUGGAGGCAGGCAGAGGCCGGUGGAAUUCCCGGUGUAGUGGUGAAAUGCGUAGAGAUCGGGAGGAACACCCGUGGCGAAAGCGGCCGGCUGGGCCUGACCUGACGCUGAGGCGCGAAAGCGUGGGGAGCGAACCGG